UACAGAGGUGGCAAGCGUUGUUCGGAAUUACUGGGCGUAAAGGGCGCGUAGGCGGUCUUUUAAGUUCCGUGUGAAAUCCCUCGGCUCAACUGGGGAACGGCACGGGAAACUGGGAGGCUUGAGUUCGGGAGAGGGAAGCGGAAUUCCGGGUGUAGCGGUGAAAUGCGUAGAUAUCUGGAGGAAUACCGGUGGCGAAGGCGGCAUCCUGGACCAUUACUGACGCUGAGGCGCGAAAGCUAGGGGAGCAAACGGG
RNAcentral lists this ribosomal RNA (253 nucleotides) under uncultured bacterium. Its description in RNAcentral is "partial 16S ribosomal RNA". It matches the Rfam family "Bacterial small subunit ribosomal RNA", at positions 524 to 776 of the family's 1533-position model. The record is from RNAcentral.